Molecule: ribosomal RNA, 253 nt
Filed under: uncultured bacterium
Lineage: Bacteria
Description: partial 16S ribosomal RNA
Rfam family: Bacterial small subunit ribosomal RNA
Source: RNAcentral
UACAGAGGGGGCAAGCGUUGUUCGGAUUCACUGGGCGUAAAGGGUGCGUAGGUGGUAAGGCAAGUCAGGUGUGAAAUCUCCGGGCUCAACCCGGAAAUGGCAUUCGAAACUACCUUGCUAGAGGGUUUGAGGGGGGACUGGAAUACUUGGUGUAGCAGUGAAAUGCGUAGAUAUCAAGUGGAACACCAGUGGCGAAGGCGAGUCCCUGGAAAACUCCUGACACUGAGGCACGAAAGCUAGGGGAGCAAACAGG